Molecule: ribosomal RNA, 492 nt
Filed under: uncultured bacterium
Lineage: Bacteria
Description: partial 16S ribosomal RNA
Rfam family: Bacterial small subunit ribosomal RNA
Source: RNAcentral
AUUGAACGCUGGCGGCAUGCUUUACACAUGCAAGUCGAACGGUAACAGGCCUUCGGGUGCUGACGAGUGGCGCACGGGUGAGUAAUGCAUCGGAACGUACCCAGAGGUGGGGGAUAACGCAGCGAAAGCUGUGCUAAUACCGCAUGUGAUCUGAGGAUGAAAGCGGGGGACCGAGCAGCAAUGUUUGGCCUCGCGCCUUUGGAGCGGCCGAUGUCGGAUUAGCUAGUUGGUGGGGUAAAGGCCUACCAAGGCGACGAUCCGUAGCUGGUCUGAGAGGACGACCAGCCACACUGGGAAUGAGACACGGCCCAGACUCCUACGGGAGGCAGCAGUGGGGAAUUUUGGACAAUGGGCGCAAGCCUGAUCCAGCAAUGCCGCGUGCGGGAAGAAGGCCUUCGGGUUGUAAACCGCUUUUGGCAGGAACGAAACGGUGUCCGCUAAUACCGGGCGCUAAUGACGGUACCUGCAGAAUAAGCACCGGCUAACUACGUG